Molecule: ribosomal RNA, 460 nt
Filed under: uncultured bacterium
Lineage: Bacteria
Description: partial 16S ribosomal RNA
Rfam family: Bacterial small subunit ribosomal RNA
Source: RNAcentral
CCUACGGGAGGCAGCAGUGAGGAAUAUUGGUCAAUGGACGAGAGUCUGAACCAGCCAAGUAGCGUGAAGGAUGACUGCCCUAUGGGUUGUAAACUUCUUUUAUAUGGGAAUAAAAUGUUCCACGUGUGGGAUUUUGUAGGUACCAUAUGAAUAAGGAUCGGCUAAUUCCGUGCCAGCAGCCGCGGUAAUACGGAGGAUCCGGGCGUUAUCCGGAUUUAUUGGGUUUAAAGGGAGCGUAGGUGGAUUGUUAAGCCAGUCGUGAAAGUUUGCGGCUCAACCGUGAAAUUGCAGUUGAAACUGGCAGUCGUGAGUGCAGUAAAGGUAGGCGGAAUUCGUGGUGUAGCGGUGAAAUGCUUAGAUAUCACGAAGAACUCCGAUUGCGAAGGCAGUUCACUGGACUGCAACUGACACUGAGGCUCGAAAGUGCGGGUAUCAAACAGGAUUAGAUACCCGUGUAGUC